Molecule: long non-coding RNA, 1688 nt
Organism: Strigops habroptila (Kakapo)
Lineage: Eukaryota; Metazoa; Chordata; Aves; Psittaciformes; Psittacidae
Exons: 3
Source: RefSeq, a predicted model, not a curated record
GGUCAUUCCUCGGUCAACUGCUCAUCUCUGCUGUUGUUCCAAGCAGGCUUCCCAAGCCACUACAGGAAGGACCAGACGAUUUCUUUAAGGAAUUGCACUAUUUAUAAAAUAAAUAUAAAAAUCAGAUCUCUAUUUUGCACAAGUGACAAGUUACGAGGGCUCCAGCAGCUGUAUAUUUGUUGAACGCCCGCCUCCUAUGUGAUGAGUCACACUUUGUGACAUUUUUCAGGAGGACUCUACAGAAAGCGGUGGAAGGCAGUCGGGCUCGGCUUUCACGGUGAGCAGAAUGGGCUCGCAGGCUUUGUCUGAAGCCCAUCAGGAGCCCGAUUUCAACGCCAUGAGUACUGCACGACAGGGGAGGCGUCGCAGAGAAAGGGCUAGGAUCCAGUAGUGCUGCCUGAAAACAAGAUUCCUGCCUCUGCCACAGCUAUUCUCUACCCUGGUGACACCAACAGUCAUUAACAACCGGCACAAUUUUAGAGCGACUUGUAUUUACACGUAAGGACAAGGACUCAUUAUCGUCAUCAUCUACAUACUGUUGUUUUACAUAACAGCUGCAGUAGAGCAAGUGCACUUUGGUCAAUAGUUUCAUUUAUAAUAAAGUAAUAAAUUAGGAAUAUUUUUCCCCUGACAAUAAGUUUUAUGCCAAGAUUUUAUGUAGCUUAAAGCAAGUUGUCAAUUAGGCUACUUAAAUUAAUUUUUGGCAGGAGUUAAUUGGAGCCUAGAGUCUUUUGUCUUUAAACAGCUAAUCCUAAACAAGAAAAUACAAUUAUUAAAUGUUUCUUAAACAAUAUUAUUCACAGAAUAUAAAAUAUAGCAUUUAAUUAAGAUUUGGGCUUGUAAUUUUUUUUUUUCUUUUAGAGAGAUUAAUUUAAACUUCAAAUAAAAUUGCUACCAUGACUCUGAUUAAACCGGCUUACUGCAAGGCUAUGGUCUGAGACCUUCCAACACUCCUAUUGAUCUUAUACCCAAAGGCAAAUUAUUUUGGAUUACUUUCUAAAGAGACAUAGUUUGCCCUUUCAGAGAAGCAGGACAUUCCUUUUUGGAGCUCCAGAAGUCUAAGAGUUGUGUUCACAGGAUAAAAAUUUUCUAUUAUUACAUUCAGGUACUAGUAAAUAUGCUAAAAAAAUAAAAGACUUCAGUGAGGCUUCCCAGCAUGGCCAGCUUCCGGGCAGGAAACCAAGACUUCUUAAAACCAGAAAUCAUGGGGGUUUACUUCAAAAAGGUUGGUAACCAAAAGUGCAGUCCAAGGUUCUGAUUAGACUAAUUUGCUUCAUUUCAGUAAAAGUAGAGCAGUUAGAGAGAGAUCUCCUACUCUUGAUGUAAAAUUUUUCAAAUUCUGGAAAUCUGCUGUAUUCACGGGUAAAUGUAGCAUGCGGUAUCAUGAUUUGCAGAGAAAUGAGUCCUGGUAGAGUAAUAUUCCUGAUUGAAUCUCUUCUUUAUAUCCACCAUAAGUUAUGAAGAGUGAAUUUAGGCACAAUGCUUUGCAACAUUACACAGGAGUUCAAGAUAAGAAAGAUGGGGCUCGGAGAAACCUGCUCUAGUGGAAGGUGUCCCUGCCCAUGGCAGGGGGUUGGAACUGGAUGAGCUGUAAGGUCCCUUCCAACCCAAACUGUUCUAGGAUUCUGUGAUUCUAAUUUGUAAUUAAUGAAUUCAUUAAAGAGCAAAAAAGGAUGAUGCAUUUUAAA